Molecule: unclassified non-coding RNA, 21 nt
Filed under: Mus musculus (house mouse)
Lineage: Eukaryota; Metazoa; Chordata; Mammalia; Rodentia; Muridae
Description: oocyte_clustered_small_RNA12338
Source: RNAcentral
AAAGCGCCCCAAGCCCAGCAG